UGGGGGCAUGUGCACGCUCUGUUCACACAUCCACUCACACCUGUGCACCCUCUGUGGUUCUGUGGCAUGGAGGGCUCUGUCCUCCUGUCGUGGUUCUGCAUCUUUACACACACACACCGUAACAAAGUCUCAUGGAAUGUACGCAGCGUUUAACGCAAUACAAUACAACUUUCAGCAACGGAUCUCUUGGCUCUCGCAUCGAUGAAGAACGCAGCGAAAUGCGAUAAGUAAUGUGAAUUGCAGAAUUCAGUGAAUCAUCGAAUCUUUGAACGCACCUUGCGCCCUUUGGCUAUUCCGAAGGGCAUGCCUGUUUGAGUAUCGUGAACACCUCAACUCUCAUGGUUCGCCAUGAUGAGCUUGGACUUUGGGGGUCUUGCUGGCCUGCAGCCGGCUCCUCUCAAAUGAAUCAGCUUGCCAGUGUUUGGUAAUGUCGCAGGUGUGAUAACUAUCUACGCUUGUGGUUUUCUACCAGAUAACCUUCAGUGAUGGAGGUUCGCUGGAGCUCACAAAUGUCUCUCUUCUGUGAGGACAGCUUUUCGAACGUUUGAUCUCAAAUCAGGUAGGACUACCCGCUGAACUUA
This 581-nucleotide ribosomal RNA is filed under the name Tomentella fuscocinerea. RNAcentral's name for it is "eukaryotic LSU rRNA". The stretch from base 167 to 321 matches the Rfam family "5.8S ribosomal RNA". The record is from RNAcentral. Lineage: Eukaryota; Fungi; Basidiomycota; Agaricomycetes; Thelephorales; Thelephoraceae.